This 550-nucleotide unclassified non-coding RNA is filed under the name Hevea brasiliensis (rubber tree). Lineage: Eukaryota; Viridiplantae; Streptophyta; Magnoliopsida; Malpighiales; Euphorbiaceae. The record is from RNAcentral.
CGGAGUAGCCGCUAUAGAGAACGAGAUGGUGUGGAAUUGACCAUUAUCAAACAUCAUGAGAAAAGACCUUCUUGCAAGUCCAACUAUCAAAAUAACAAGUCAUCUCAUUCUUUAUCAGAUUCUUCUAAUAAUCAUGGUGUGCAGAAGGAUGAUGAAAAAUGGGCUGUUAGAGAUAGGCAUCUAAGACACUCGUAUGGGGAUCACAGUUCGAAUGUUCUGGCAAAAAAUGCAUUUGAGGAUAGGUACAACCCUGCAGAAUCUCAUGACACAUAUGAAGAUGGUGUCUACACUGGAAACAAGUAUGUCAGACAAGAAGAAUUCCAUGAAUAGGCUAGCAGCAUUUCUGCAAAGGCUUGAGAAACAUUCUGACAAAUUGCAUAUGGUUAUCCUAAGAAAUUUCCAACUAGUUUCCUGUUGUGGGAUUACAAAAGAAGGCAACAAUGUUUUCCAGAGAAUAUGUGUGAAGUUUUUGGAGCUCCAUAUGGUUUGAAAAGAAGGUUGACAAUGAAAUUAAUGAAUUUCUCACCAUGGUAAGAUGAUUUUUAUAGGG